Molecule: transfer RNA, 76 nt
Filed under: Pseudomonas fluorescens
Lineage: Bacteria; Pseudomonadati; Pseudomonadota; Gammaproteobacteria; Pseudomonadales; Pseudomonadaceae
Also listed under: 239 other names
Description: tRNA-Val
Rfam family: tRNA
About the family: Transfer RNA (tRNA) molecules are approximately 80 nucleotides in length. Their secondary structure includes four short double-helical elements and three loops (D, anti-codon, and T loops). Further hydrogen bonds mediate the characteristic L-shaped molecular structure. tRNAs have two regions of fundamental functional importance: the anti-codon, which is responsible for specific mRNA codon recognition, and the 3' end, to which the tRNAs corresponding amino acid is attached (by aminoacyl-tRNA synthetases). tRNAs cope with the degeneracy of the genetic code in two manners: having more than one tRNA (with a specific anti-codon) for a particular amino acid; and 'wobble' base-pairing, i.e. permitting non-standard base-pairing at the 3rd anti-codon position.
Source: RNAcentral
GGGUGAUUAGCUCAGCUGGGAGAGCAGCUGCCUUACAAGCAGCGGGUCGGCGGUUCGAUCCCGUCAUCACCCACCA